ACACGGCCAACACACGCUACAUUUAUCUCCCAUCCGGAUCCCUCGCGACCUCCUCCUGGAAGACCGACGCCGACGUCCACGUCCUGCUCCUCCCUUCCCAACGCAAGCUCUUCCUCUCUCCCUUCUCCGUUGUUGAUGUCGCCCUGCUUCCUAGAUGGACCAUGGCGGCGGGUCAGGCUCGGUGCGUGAGCUCCUAGCCACCGGCCGGAACCCUAGCCGCCGGUCAAAAUCCUAGCCACCGGCUGAAGGGGUGGCCGCACUUCUUCUCCGCUGACCAGAUCAAUUGUGGAUGGCCGUCCUUCUUCUUCUGCAGUCAGAUGCACGGCGAGUCGGCUGCCCUUCUUCUCCUCUGGCCAGAUCCACGACAUGGCAGCGAACUCCAGGACGCGGUGGCACCGGCUGCAGUAGCAGGUUUGUUGUUCCCUCUCUUUUUCCCCUCUCUCUUGCAGGCUGUGCGAUGGAUCUAUGGGUGGUGGAUCUGGUGUGGCGGGGUCUCCGCAUGGUGGUGGCUCUCCGGAUUCGGUCCACAAAAUCUUG
RNAcentral lists this long non-coding RNA (537 nucleotides) under Sorghum bicolor (sorghum). RNAcentral describes it as "long non-coding RNA (SBIC_LNC016162)". Lineage: Eukaryota; Viridiplantae; Streptophyta; Magnoliopsida; Poales; Poaceae. The record is from RNAcentral.